Non-coding RNA from Rattus norvegicus (Norway rat), 468 nucleotides. Lineage: Eukaryota; Metazoa; Chordata; Mammalia; Rodentia; Muridae. The record is from RefSeq and is a predicted model, not a curated record.
AUCUAAAUUUGACUUUAAUCUCAUAUAUAUAAGAUAUAUAUCCACACAAGCUUUGUGAUUUUAUGCAUGUCUGCUGAAGCCACACAGUGUGAGUAAGCAAACUUCGCAGCGAAACAUGAAGAUAACUAGGAUACGAGUCAUGGCCAGACAUCUGGAAUUCGUCGUCGAGAUGGCAGUCCACUCAUCAUCACAUUACCAUUCUCAGUCUAUGUCCUUGACCUAGUUUAAAAAGGUUCAGAAAAGGAGCAACUGUCAUAUGCAUCAGAAUGUCUGGGAAAGGUUUCAAGGAAAAGGAUAACAUUGGCUGGAGCCUGAAGGGUCGAUUAUAUUUGGGUAGACCAAGUAAACAGAAAAGAAAGAGCAGGCACAUGAGCUCAUGACAAGAGGUGAAGUAAGGAGUCAUCUGCCCAGAGAAAACGGUCAACUCUUUAAUUCAAAAUAAAUGUAUUAUGUAACGUUUGAAGUCCA